UUCGACUCAACAUCCUAUAUAUUAAACCAUAGUGUAUCUGUUAAUCAAUGUAUAAGCGAGAAUGGAAAGUAAUAAAACAUAUAAUACUUUUUGGUCAAUAAAAACUUGAUGAUUUUUAUAUUCUUCUUCUGCAAUUGUCUCUAAUUUUGGAGCACUAGAAAGCCUACGAGGAGAAAUAAAGCGUGCUGGUGCAACUUCUACAAUAUUAUUCAUGUAUCUCCUUGCCAUGCACUUGUCUUAAUUAAUUUCUUGUUUAAACAAGAAAUUAAACUCUUGUUGGAUUUUUUUUUUUGGAGGAAUAUAGAAGGUAAUU
Molecule: long non-coding RNA, 313 nt
Filed under: Nicotiana benthamiana
Lineage: Eukaryota; Viridiplantae; Streptophyta; Magnoliopsida; Solanales; Solanaceae
Description: long non-coding RNA (NBEN_LNC041449)
Source: RNAcentral